ACGUCUACAUUAGAUACCCCCGUAGUCCCAGCCGUAAACUAUGCGCGUUAGGUGUAUCGGUGACCACGAGUCACCGAGGUGCCGAAGGGAAACCGUGAAACGUGCCGCCUGGGAAGUACGGUCGCAAGGCUGAAACUUAAAGGAAUUGGCGGGGAGCACCACAACAGGUGGAGCCUGCGGUUUAAUUGGACUCAACGCCGGGAAGCUCACCGGAUAGGACAGCAGAAUGAUUGCCGGGCUGAAGACCCUGCAUGACUAGCUG
This 262-nucleotide ribosomal RNA is filed under the name uncultured archaeon. RNAcentral describes it as "partial 16S ribosomal RNA". It matches the Rfam family "Archaeal small subunit ribosomal RNA", at positions 716 to 982 of the family's 1478-position model. The record is from RNAcentral.